AGCCGUGUGAAAAUUUUGUAAAUAACUUUUAAGUUUUAUGAUUAAAAAGAAUUGAAUUUGCAAUUGAUAAGAUUGUAUAAUAAAGUUCUACUAGAAACUUAUGCCAAAACAAUGGCAAGCAGCUUUGAUUUUAUUUAAUUUCCAAUUUGAUGUAAUUAGUAUUUUCCCGCCAAAAGUUUGGUGAGCGUUUGGCGCCUCUUAUAGUCAUGUGACUUUAAACCAGGGUUGGAUUUUUUCAUAUUGUCCAGUGGGUUUGAAUUGUUCAGACGUUUGAGUUUUAGUUAUAGUUGGAGUUAUUUCGCCAUCGUGUUGCACCAAAGAAGCUUUGAAAUAUAGUUUACAGCUUUACAUUUGAUAAAUAUCAAGCCUAAAGUCCAUAACUUUGGUAAGUUAUACUAUUUAGACUGUUUAAGCAAUAUAAAAGUCAACUAAAGCAAUAAUAUAAAUAUUUUGUUUUUAAUCUUAUUUUUCUCACUUAUUAAAUAUAAAUAAGU
Ostrea edulis (European flat oyster) is the source of this 494-nucleotide long non-coding RNA. RefSeq lists it as uncharacterized. Lineage: Eukaryota; Metazoa; Mollusca; Bivalvia; Ostreida; Ostreidae. The record is from RefSeq and is a predicted model, not a curated record. The transcript is spliced from 2 exons.